GCAGUCGAGCGAAUGGAUUAAGAGCUUGCUCUUAUGAAGUUAGCGGCGGACGGGUGAGUAACACGUGGGUAACCUGCCCAUAAGACUGGGAUAACUCCGGGAAACCGGGGCUAAUACCGGAUAACAUUUUGAACCGCAUGGUUCGAAAUUGAAAGGCGGCUUCGGCUGUCACUUAUGGAUGGACCCGCGUCGCAUUAGCUAGUUGGUGAGGUAACGGCUCACCAAGGCAACGAUGCGUAGCCGACCUGAGAGGGUGAUCGGCCACACUGGGACUGAGACACGGCCCAGACUCCUACGGGAGGCAGCAGUAGGGAAUCUUCCGCAAUGGACGAAAGUCUGACGGAGCAACGCCGCGUGAGUGAUGAAGGCUUUCGGGUCGUAAAACUCUGUUGUUAGGGAAGAACAAGUGCUAGUUGAAUAAGCUGGCACCUUGACGGUACCUAACCAGAAAGCCACGGCUAACUACGUGCCAGCAGCCGCGGUAAUACGUAGGUGGCAAGCGUUAUCCGGAAUUAUUGGGCGUAAAGCGCGCGCAGGUGGUUUCUUAAGUCUGAUGUGAAAGCCCACGGCUCAACCGUGGAGGGUCAUUGGAAACUGGGAGACUUGAGUGCAGAAGAGGAAAGUGGAAUUCCAUGUGUAGCGGUGAAAUGCGUAGAGAUAU
This 661-nucleotide ribosomal RNA is filed under the name Bacillus sp. CSu4_22. RNAcentral describes it as "bacterial SSU rRNA". It matches the Rfam family "Bacterial small subunit ribosomal RNA", at positions 57 to 699 of the family's 1533-position model. The record is from RNAcentral. Lineage: Bacteria; Bacillati; Bacillota; Bacilli; Caryophanales; Bacillaceae.